Molecule: ribosomal RNA, 253 nt
Filed under: uncultured bacterium
Lineage: Bacteria
Description: partial 16S ribosomal RNA
Rfam family: Bacterial small subunit ribosomal RNA
Source: RNAcentral
UACGGAGGGUGCAAGCGUUACCCGGAAUCACUGGGCGUAAAGGGCGUGUAGGCGGGAUGUUAAGUCUGUCUUUGAAGACCGGAGCUCAACUCCGGGAGUGGCCUGGGUACUGGGAUUCUAGACCUCUGGAGAGAGAAGUGGAAUUCCAGGUGUAGCGGUGGAAUGCGUAGAUACCAGGAGGAACACCAACGGCGAAGGCAGGUUCCUGGACAGAAGGUGACGCUGAGGCGCGAAAGUGUGGGGAGCGAACCGG